GGUUAAGCGACUAAGCGUACACGGUGGAUGCCCUGGCAGUCAGAGGCGAUGAAGGACGUGCUAAUCUGCGAAAAGCGUCGGUAAGGUGAUAUGAACCGUUACAGCCGGCGAUGUCCGAAUGGGGAAACCCAGUGCAAUUCGUUGCACUAUCGUUUGAUGAAUACAUAGUCAAACGAGGCGAACCGGGGGAACUGAAACAUCUAAGUACCCCGAGGAAAAGAAAUCAACCGAGAUUCCCCCAGUAGCGGCGAGCGAACGGGGAGCAGCCCGGAGUCUGAAUCAGCUUGUGUGUUAGUGGAAGCGUCUGGAAAGUCGCAGGGUACAGGGUGAUACUCCCGUACACUAAAACGCACAGGUUGUGAACUCGAAGAGUAGGGCGGGACACGUGGUAUCCUGUCUGAAUAUGGGGGGACCAUCCUCCAAGGCUAAAUACUCCUGACUGACCGAUAGUGAACCAGUACCGUGAGGGAAAGGCGAAAAGAACCCCGGCGAGGGGAGUGAAAAAGAACCUGAAACCGUGUACGUACAAGCAGUAGGAGCCCACUAGUUGGGUGACUGCGUACCUUUUGUAUAAUGGGUCAGCGACUUAUAUUCUGUAGCAAGGUUAACCGUAUAGGGGAGCCGCAGGGAAACCGAGUCUUAACUGGGCGUUAAGUUGCAGGGUAUAGACCCGAAACCCGGUGAUCUAGCCAUGGGCAGGUUGAAGGUUGGGUAACACUAACUGGAGGACCGAACCGACUAAUGUUGAAAAAUUAGCGGAUGACUUGUGGCUGGGGGUGAAAGGCCAAUCAAACCGGGAGAUAGCUGGUUCUCCCCGAAAGCUAUUUAGGUAGCGCCUCGUGAAUUCAUCUUCGGGGGUAGAGCACUGUUUCGGCUAGGGGGUCAUCCCGACUUACCAACCCGAUGCAAACUACGAAUACCGAAGAAUGUUAUCACGGGAGACACACGGCGGGUGCUAACGUCCGUCGUGAAGAGGGAAACAACCCAGACCGCCAGCUAAGGUCCCAAAGUCAUGGUUAAGUGGGAAACGAUGUGGGAAGGCCCAGACAGCCAGGAUGUUGGCUUAGAAGCAGCCAUCAUUUAAAGAAAGCGUAAUAGCUCACUGGUCGAGUCGGCCUGCGCGGAAGAUGUAACGGGGCUAAACCAUGCACCGAAGCUGCGGCAGCGACACUAUGUGUUGUUGGGUAGGGGAGCGUUCUGUAAGCCGUUGAAGGUGGCCUGUGAGGGUUGCUGGAGGUAUCAGAAGUGCGAAUGCUGACAUAAGUAACGAUAAUGCGGGUGAAAAACCCGCACGCCGGAAGACCAAGGGUUCCUGUCCAACGUUAAUCGGGGCAGGGUGAGUCGACCCCUAAGGCGAGGCCGAAAGGCGUAGUCGAUGGGAAACAGGUUAAUAUUCCUGUACUCGGUGUUACUGCGAAGGGGGGACGGAGAAGGCUAUGUUGGCCGGGCGACGGUUGUCCCGGUUUAAGCAUGUAGGCGGAUGUUCCAGGUAAAUCCGGAACGUUACUAACGCUGAGGUGUGAUGACGAGGCACUACGGUGCUGAAGUGACAAAUGCCCUGCUUCCAGGAAAAGCCUCUAAGCAUCAGGUAACAUCAAAUCGUACCCCAAACCGACACAGGUGGUCAGGUAGAGAAUACCAAGGCGCUUGAGAGAACUCGGGUGAAGGAACUAGGCAAAAUGGUGCCGUAACUUCGGGAGAAGGCACGCUGAUGGUAGGUGAAGCGACUUGCUCGUGGAGCUGAAAUCAGUCGAAGAUACCAGCUGGCUGCAACUGUUUAUUAAAAACACAGCACUGUGCAAACACGAAAGUGGACGUAUACGGUGUGACGCCUGCCCGGUGCCGGAAGGUUAAUUGAUGGGGUUAUCCGUAAGGAGAAGCUCUUGAUCGAAGCCCCGGUAAACGGCGGCCGUAACUAUAACGGUCCUAAGGUAGCGAAAUUCCUUGUCGGGUAAGUUCCGACCUGCACGAAUGGCGUAAUGAUGGCCAGGCUGUCUCCACCCGAGACUCAGUGAAAUUGAACUCGCUGUGAAGAUGCAGUGUACCCGCGGCAAGACGGAAAGACCCCGUGAACCUUUACUAUAGCUUGACACUGAACACUGGUCCUUGAUGUGUAGGAUAGGUGGGAGGCUUUGAAGUGUGGACGCCAGUCUGCAUGGAGCCAUCCUUGAAAUACCACCCUUUAAUGGCUGGUGUUCUAACGUGGGCCCCUAAUCGGGGUUGCGGACAGUGUCUGGUGGGUAGUUUGACUGGGGCGGUCUCCUCCUAAAGAGUAACGGAGGAGCACGAAGGUCAGCUAAUCCUGGUCGGACAUCAGGAGGUUAGUGCAAUGGCAUAAGCUGGCUUGACUGCGAGCGUGACGGCGCGAGCAGGUGCGAAAGCAGGUCAUAGUGAUCCGGUGGUUCUGAAUGGAAGGGCCAUCGCUCAACGGAUAAAAGGUACUCCGGGGAUAACAGGCUGAUACCGCCCAAGAGUUCAUAUCGACGGCGGUGUUUGGCACCUCGAUGUCGGCUCAUCACAUCCUGGGGCUGAAGUAGGUCCCAAGGGUAUGGCUGUUCGCCAUUUAAAGUGGUACGCGAGCUGGGUUUAGAACGUCGUGAGACAGUUCGGUCCCUAUCUGCCGUGGGCGCUGGAGAAUUGAGGGGGGCUGCUCCUAGUACGAGAGGACCGGAGUGGACGCAUCACUGGUGUUCGGGUUGUCAUGCCAAUGGCAUUGCCCGGUAGCUAAAUGCGGAAGAGAUAAGUGCUGAAAGCAUCUAAGCACGAAACUUGCCCCGAGAUGAGUUCUCCCUGACCCUUUAAGGGUCCUGAAGGAACGUUGAAGACGACGACGUUGAUAGGCCGGGUGUGUAAGCGCAGCGAUGCGUUGAGCUAACCGGUACUAAUGAACCGUGAGGCUUAACCUU
This 2906-nucleotide ribosomal RNA is filed under the name Klebsiella michiganensis. Its description in RNAcentral is "23S ribosomal RNA". It matches the Rfam family "Bacterial large subunit ribosomal RNA". The record is from RNAcentral. Lineage: Bacteria; Pseudomonadati; Pseudomonadota; Gammaproteobacteria; Enterobacterales; Enterobacteriaceae.